Molecule: long non-coding RNA, 4390 nt
Organism: Pseudopipra pipra
Lineage: Eukaryota; Metazoa; Chordata; Aves; Passeriformes; Pipridae
Exons: 2
Source: RefSeq, a predicted model, not a curated record
UGAAUCUAAAUGGAAUGCUCCAAUUUUGCCAGACAAGCAGGCAAAUGGAAGGCUAUCCCAGUUAGUCCAAGACCUCAGAGCUGUAAAUAAUAGAGUAGAAGAUAUACAAGCAGUUGUAGCAAAUCCUUACACUUUGCUAACUCCCCUAAAUGAAAGUUUAAUGUUUCACAGUAUUAGAUUUGAAAGCUGCCUUUUUCUGUCUCCCUUUGAGUUGUGAAAGUCAAGAGCUUUUUGCUUUCAAAUGGGAAAAUCCAAAGACAGGGAGGAAAACCCAGCUGACUUUGGUGGUCCUCCUGCAGGUGAUGCCAGCUCAGCUGAUGCUAAGGAAAAACCUCAGGAGCAGUUAAUUGAGUGUGAGAUAAGGAAAGGGUUUGAUUUGUGCCAAGGCACAGAUGUUACAGGGUGCAUGCCCGCUGUGCCUGAGAUGUUACAUUUUAUAAUACUACCUGUCCAAUCCCAAGUGUUUCCACCCCGUAGCCUUUGCUCUGGUCUGCCCCGGGCCCACUCCCUGGGAAUUGAGUCUGGGGUGCAUUUCAGGACCCUCUCUUCAUCCCCAUCACCAUCCUCAGAGCACAAAGGGUACACGGUCACCCAGUUCUUGACUCUGUUCUGUUGUUCAGGCCAAGAUAGGAGUGUUCUCUAAACAGCACAGGCCUUGCCUUGACAAGAGACUAAACAUUUCUACUGAAUUCAGGGUUAGGAUUGAUAUGGGGAGCAUGGAAUGGGGUAGGAGGGUUGAGGAAUGUGUAAACUAAAGGGUGCUAAAGGGUGAGGAAUACAAUAUAGCUACUUCUAAAAUCUACUUCUACUAUAAUUACAUAAAAAGCUUAUAAAAAUUAGCAAAGUCAAAAAAAACCUAAAAGGGUCUUAAGGCAUCACAGGGGUUUAAAAAUAUCCCCCCAAUAUUUGGAACUCAACUGGCAAAGGAACUGGAGGAAUGGAAAAGUCAAACCCCUCUUGGAGCCUUGUUCCAGCGUGUGGAUAUUUUGAUAGCCACUGAUGCUGAGCAGCAAUGUUGGGAUCAGACACUAUGGAAUUUCCUUGGACUGGGUGGAUAUGGAGUGUCCCAAACACAAAGUGCAAGUAGUCCAGACCCCAGGAGCCUCCCUGGGCUUUGGAAUUCUCCAAGGACAAGGGAGGCUGGGCCAGGAACGAAAGAAGCAACCUGUCAACUGCCCCAGCCCCAGCAAAGGAAGCCCAGAGCAGGAUUGCUUCCAGACUAGAGGAGAAGUGUAUUGGGGCAGAGCUGACUCAGGAGACAGCCCCUGGGAAAGUCCUGGUUGGGAAUUGUUUCCCAGUGGGGGCAGCUUUGUCCAGUGUGGAAAACAAUUCUCUGGAUGCACAGGAACUCCCCCAGCAGGUCAUGGAAUUGGGGGCACUCCUCUGCAGUGCCUCAGCCCAGAAAGCAGAACCAACUGUGCUCACUCCAGCUUUGGGAUAGAGUCAAGGAGAACAAGUUAAUCCUUGGACUUGCUUGAAGAUCUCCAGAAACCAACAGAGGCUGCUGUCCUGCAUUGCAGAGUGCACCAAGAGGGGGAGACCAAAGCAGAACUGGGGAAUCAUUUGGCCCAUAAUUCUGCCAAAGAGGCUGCAGAAAAAGGCACUUUAGAGAGUAAAGUUUUGUCUUUACUAACCCUGACAGAGAUACCUCUCCCAGUAGAAAAAAAUGAGUCUAGUGCUAAGGAUUGUCAGCUCAUUGAAACCUUAGAGCAAAAUUUGCUCCAGGAGGCUGGGCAGUUACCCCAGGUGGGCAAAUAAUAGUCCCUGAACCAGUCUGGUGUGACCUGGUGGAUGGGGAACACGAGGGUAUUCCUUGGAGUGAAGCAAAUCAUUGAAACAUUUGCACAAGUGGGUUAUAAGUCCAAAACUGCCCCCAGUUGUAGAAGCAGUGAGUCAGCAGUGUGGUGUGUGAGAGAAAUGAUCCAACCCCUGCCAAUGCAGUGGGAACAGGUGAUGUAAAGUGUAGAAAUGUUCCAGGUGAAUGUUGGCAGAUGGAUUUGACUGAAUUGCCCAGAAAAGGGGGGUGUAAAGAUCUCCUGGUCUUGGGGGAUACCUUCUCUGGGUGGCCAGAGGCUUUUCCUUGUUGCACUAAGAAGGUUUGGAAAGAGACUGCAAUCCUGUUCAAUGCAAUCCUCCCUGUAUUUGGGAUGCCUUUGGGAAUGUCAUCAGACAGAGGUUCCCACUUAUUGCAGAAACAAAAUGCUUCACUCUUGUUUUGCUCUUCUGAACACAGUUCAAACACUGUUGACAUGGGAGGAAAAUUUACAUCUCUUUUUAGUGCCAAAUGUGAUCCAAGUGUUGUCUAAAAGUGUCUGUAUUAAGUAAGCAAGACUCUGUAAUGAAUCUGUAAACUGUGUGUGUAAUGUAAAGCCCUGUCUGGCUGUCCCUGAAGUGCUGAGGCUGAACAACAGCCCCUGAGCCAAAGCUGAGCUCUAGAUGAACCUCCCAACCUAAUGGGCUGUGUCUCCAUGUAUCUGCUCAUCAGCUAAAACUGGGUCUAUUUGUUGGUAAAACUGUGGUGUGAUGGGACUCCACCUGUGUAUCUGCUCCUGAACAAACAGGUGUGCUUAUUAGUCAGAUCUAUUAGUCUGGGCUCAUUAGUGAAUCCUGUUUGUACCUGUUCAUUAAUGAAAUAUGUCUGAUUGUGAGCAAAAUGUGAUCUUUAUCCUUCUGUAUCUGGAGAGUGGUCAAGGCCAUGGCAGUCGAUGUCUGGCCUUGUUUGGCAGCAGAUGGGGCAGGGGGAGCCUUGGUUUGGGAGAAGUAGAACAUUGCUCCCAAUAUUCUGCUCUGACCAAAUAAGGAACAAUAGAAUCUUAGAGAAGUCCUGGAGAAUUGGAUCAGGGCUGGAACUCAAGCAAACAGGAUGUGAGCUGAGCUCUGGGGACCCAGAGAAGAUCAAACCAAACAUGCUGGUCUCUGUGGGGAAAAGCAGUGAUGCUGAGAACCGAGGUCAAGAAGGGGACACCUGACUUUGGGGGGGCACCAGAUGCCAAAAAACCCACAAGAGACCCUCAAAGAAGACCCCAAAUGACCAAAUAGGUGCUUGCAAUAAGAGAUGUGACUGUGUAAAGCAAAGUAAUGGACAUGUGUUAAGUAAGGGAGAAUAUCCAAUGCCUCUGGAAUCAGUGUGUGUAAUCCCAAGCCCUGCCUGUGUCCCUGAGCAGGCUGGAUUAGAAGAACUCUCCUGCAGGCGUCCAUCACGCUGCCCUAAAGAAUGCCUGCUUCUUAACACCCCAAACUGGGGUGAAGGGCUUGGGUUCUGCUGCUUGUGGGGAUCAUUUCUGGCCCCCAGAUGGGACCCUGUGCCUGAUCUCCCAUGGAUCCGAGGGAUCUCUGGAUCUUCACGCCGGCCCCAGGACUUUCCUGGAGAAGAGCACAGAUCCCUGGCCCAGUCUGGGAUGUGGGGAAGAUCCCAUUGGAUAAUAAGGCAUUCUUUUGGGGAAUCCUGCUUAUGUAAGAUGUGUGGAUCUUCCAGCACUUUGGGUGGGUUAUUUGGUAUUCCACAAUUUGGUGUCUGGCUUUGUUUUCUCCACUGAUCAUUGUUCUGUGUUUGUAUUUGUCUCUGUACUGUAACAUUUGCACAGGUGGGUUAGGGGUGCAAAACUGACCCAGUUGUACAAGCAGUGAGUCAGCAGUGUGGUGUGUGAGAGAAAUGAUCCAACCCCUGCCAAUGCAGUGGGAACAGGUGAUGUACAGUGUGGAAAUGUUCCAGGUGAAUGUUGGCAGAUGGAUUUGACUGAAUUGCCCAGAAAAGGGGGGUGUAAAGAUCUCCUAGUCUUGGGGGAUACCUUCUCUGAGUGGCCAGAGGCUUUUCCUUGUUGCACUAAGAAGGUUUGGAAAGAGACUGCAAUCCUGUUCAGUGCAAUCCUCCCUGUAUUUGGGAUGCCUUUGGGAAUGUCAUCAGACAGAGGUUCCCACUUGACUGUAGAAACAAAAUGCUUCACUCUUGUUUUGCUCUUCUGAACACAGUUCAAACACUGUUGACAUGGGAGGAAAAUUUACAUCUCUUUUUAGUGCCAAAUGUGAUCCAAGUGUUGUCUAAAAGUGUCUGUAUUAAGUAAGCAAGACUCUGUAAUGAAUCUGUAAACUGUGUGUGUAAUGUAAAGCCCUGUCUGGCUGUCCCUGAAGUGCUGAGGCUGAACAACAGCCCCUGAGCCAAAGCUGAGCUCCAGAUGAACCUCCCAACCUAAUGGGCUGUGUCUCCAUGUAUCUGCUCAUCAGCUAAAACUGGGUCUAUUUGUUGGUACAAAUGUGCUGUGAUGGGACUCCACCUGUGUAUCUGCUCCUGAACAAACAGGUGUGCUUAUUAGUCAGAUCUGUUAGUCUGGGCUCAUUAGUGAAUCCUGUUUGUACCUGUUCAUUAACGAAAUAUGUCUGAUUGUGAGCAAAA